CCUACGGGAGGCAGCAGUAGGGAAUAUUGCUCAAUGGGGGAAACCCUGAAGCAGCAACGCCGCGUGGAGGAUGAAGGUCUUCGGAUUGUAAACUCCUUUUGUUAGAGAAGAUAAUGACGGUAUCUAACGAAUAAGCACCGGCUAACUCCGUGCCAGCAUCCGCGGUAAUACGGAGGGUGCAAGCGUUACUCGGAAUCACUGGGCGUAAAGAGCGCGUAGGCGGGAUAGCAAGUCAGAUGUGAAAUCCUAUGGCUUAACCAUAGAACUGCAUUUGAAACUGUUAUUCUAGAGUAUGGGAGAGGUAGGUGGAAUGCUUGGUGUAGGGGUGAAAUGCGUAGAGAUCAAGAGGAACACUGAUUGCGAAGGCGACCUGCUAGAACAUAACUGACGCUGAUGCGCGAAAGCGUGGGGAGCAAACAGGAUUAGAUACCCUAGUAGUC
Molecule: ribosomal RNA, 440 nt
Filed under: uncultured bacterium
Lineage: Bacteria
Description: partial 16S ribosomal RNA
Rfam family: Bacterial small subunit ribosomal RNA
Source: RNAcentral